Drosophila hydei is the source of this 872-nucleotide long non-coding RNA. RefSeq lists it as uncharacterized. NCBI's taxonomy places the organism in Eukaryota, Metazoa, Arthropoda, Insecta, Diptera, Drosophilidae. The transcript has 3 exons. The record is from RefSeq and is a predicted model, not a curated record.
AUCAAAUAUAUCGCUCUAAUGAUGGCCCAAAAAGAUUGGACUAAACGAUUUUGUGAGUUCGACCAUAGAUUUGCAGAAGCAUCAAUGCAUGUAUGCAUGAGUGUGUGUGUGUGUGUGUGUGUGUUUAUAAAUACUGUACUGGGUCGGUUUAAGCUUUGAAUGGGUGUGUUUGUGUGUGUUGACCAAAAGGGAGCUAUUUUAUCGCGCUUGUAUAUAUGGCAAUGUCUUUGAAUGCACACUGUGGAAUCGUGCGGAAAAUGGGAAAAAUACAUUUAGGAGGAAAAAGGGUAUGAAGAGGGAAGAAAAUAAAAACAAGGGUAUUAACGACCCUGCGGCUGCUGCUACGCGUGUGUGAGGCCAUAGAGUUGAAGCGGCUGAGAGCUGAAGAUGGUGCUGCCUACUCAGCCAUUGUUAAGGACUGUCGAGUCACUCGUGUGCGAGUGUUCAGCAUUCUGUCGCCCCCAGUUAAAUUUUACAGCUCAAGCAAGACACUAAAAGGCAUCGCAUAUGACAAAGGCACAAGGACAACAACAUGCCACCGACACCUCCUACUCCACCGCCACCUCCACCUACACCACCGCGUCUACUGUUACCGCCCAGCCACAGAUGAAAGAUUAAAGCACAUCUUAAUGCGAACCGACGCUGGGAAAUGUGAAACAAGCGCGUAGGCCGUGAAAGUUUCCGUUAUCAACGCGACCCAAGGCGCCAGUCGCAUUCGCAGAGCGCGAGCCAAGUACGGCUGUUCGUCCUAGGUCGCCUGACUAUGAUUAGAUGGGCGGGUCCUGACAUAUGUAUACCACACCAAAGUGUACGUGUGUUUUAUCUAUCUAAAAAUAUUAAAAGAAAAUAAAGAGAAACAGAAUCAAAAUACA